Molecule: unclassified non-coding RNA, 329 nt
Filed under: soil metagenome
Description: partial contains 5.8S ribosomal RNA, internal transcribed spacer 2, and large subunit ribosomal RNA
Rfam family: 5.8S ribosomal RNA (bases 1-120)
Source: RNAcentral
GAUGAAGAACGCAGCGAAAUGCGAUAAGUAAUGUGAAUUGCAGAAUUCAGUGAAUCAUCGAAUCUUUGAACGCACAUUGCGCCCCCUGGUAUUCCGGGGGGCAUGCCUGUCCGAGCGUCAUUACAACCCUCAAGCUCAGCUUGGUGUUGGGCCCCGCCGCCCCGGCGGGCCCUAAAGUCAGUGGCGGUGCCGUCCGGCUCCGAGCGUAGUAAUUCUUCUCGCUCUGGAGGUCCGGUCGUGUGCUCGCCAGCAACCACCAAUUUUUUUCAGGUUGACCUCGGAUCAGGUAGGGAUAUCCGCUGAACUUAAGCAUAUCAAUAAGCGGAGGA